GACGAACCGAGCGAACGUUGUUCGGAAUCACUGGGCUUAAAGGGCGCGUAGGCGGCUUGCCAAGUCCGGGGUGAAAUCCUGCAGCUUAACUGUAGAAGGGCCUUGGAUACUGGCAAGCUCGAGGGAGGUAGGGGUAUGUGGAACUUCCGGUGGAGCGGUGAAAUGCGUUGAUAUCGGAAGGAACGCCGGUGGCGAAAGCGACGUACUGGACCUCUUCUGACGCUGAGGCGCGAAAGCUAGGGGAGCAAACAGG
This 253-nucleotide ribosomal RNA is filed under the name uncultured prokaryote. RNAcentral's name for it is "partial 16S ribosomal RNA". It matches the Rfam family "Bacterial small subunit ribosomal RNA", at positions 524 to 776 of the family's 1533-position model. The record is from RNAcentral.